Molecule: ribosomal RNA, 253 nt
Filed under: uncultured bacterium
Lineage: Bacteria
Description: partial 16S ribosomal RNA
Rfam family: Bacterial small subunit ribosomal RNA
Source: RNAcentral
UACGUAGGGUGCGAGCGUUGUCCGGAAUUAUUGGGCGUAAAGAGCUCGUAGGCGGUUUGUCGCGUCUGCUGUGAAAUCCCGAGGCUCAACCUCGGGUCUGCAGUGGGUACGGGCAGACUAGAGUGUGGUAGGGGAGAUUGGAAUUCCUGGUGUAGCGGUGGAAUGCGCAGAUAUCAGGAGGAACACCGAUGGCGAAGGCAGAUCUCUGGGCCAUUACUGACGCUGAGGAGCGAAAGCAUGGGGAGCGAACAGG